RNAcentral lists this ribosomal RNA (441 nucleotides) under uncultured bacterium. Its description in RNAcentral is "bacterial SSU rRNA". It matches the Rfam family "Bacterial small subunit ribosomal RNA", at positions 338 to 795 of the family's 1533-position model. The record is from RNAcentral.
CCUACGGGGGGCUGCAGUAGGGAAUAUUGCACAAUGGGGGAAACCCUGAUGCAGCAACGCCGCGUGGGCGACGAAGGCCUUCGGGUUGUAAAGCCCUUUUCUGGGGGAAGAGGAAGGACGGUACCCCAGGAACAAGUCUCGGCUAACUACGUGCCAGCAGCCGCGGUAAGACGUAGGAGGCGAGCGUUAUCCGGAUUUACUGGGCGUAAAGGGCAAGUAGGCGGCGGUUCAAGUUGGACGUGACAUCUCCCGGCUCAACUGGGAGGGGUCGUUCAAAACUGGGUCGCUGGAGGGCAGGAGAGGGAAGCGGAAUUCCUGGUGUAGCGGUGGAAUGCUCAGAUACCAGGAGGAACACCAGUGGCGAAGGCGGCUUCCUGGCCUGUACCUGACGCUGAGAGGCGAAAGCCAGGGGAGCGAACGGGCUUAGAUACCCCAGUAGUC